UCGGCUCCCGCUAUCGGAUGAGCCUAUGUCGGAUUAGCUAGUUGGUGAGGUAACGGCUCACCAAGGCCACGAUCCGUAGCUGGUCUGAGAGGAUGAUCAGCCACAUCGGGACUGAGACACGGCCCGAACUCCUACGGGAGGCAGCAGUGGGGAAUAUUGGACAAUGGGGGGAACCCUGAUCCAGCCAUGCCGCGUGUGUGAAGAAGGCCCUCGGGUUGUAAAGCACUUUCAGCGAGGAAGAACGCCUAGCGGUUAAUACCCGCUAGGAAAGACAUCACUCGCAGAAGAAGCACCGGCUAACUCCGUGCCAGCAGCCGCGGUAAUACGGAGGGUGCAAGCGUUAAUCGGAAUUACUGGGCGUAAAGCGCGCGUAGGUGGCUUGAUAAGCCGGUUGUGAAAGCCCCGGGCUCAACCUGGGAACGGCAUCCGGAACUGUCAAGCUAGAGUGCAGGAGAGGAAGGUAGAAUUCCCGGUGUAGCGGUGAAAUGCGUAGAGAUCGGGAGGAAUACCAGUGGCGAAGGCGGCCUUCUGGACUGACACUGACACUGAGGUGCGAAAGCGUGGGUAGCAAACAGGAUUAGAUACCCUGGUAGUCCACGCCGUAAACGAUGUCGACCAGCCGUUGGGUGCCUAGCGCACUUUGUGGCGAAGUUAACGCGAUAAGUCGACCGCCUGGGGAGUACGGCCGCAAGGUUAAAACUCAAAUGAAUUGACGGGGGCCCGCACAAGCGGUGGAGCAUGUGGUUUAAUUCGAUGCAACGCGAAGAACCUUACCUACUCUUGACAUCCUGCGAAUUCUGUAGAGAUACCUUAGUGCCUUCGGGAACGCUGAGACAGGUGCUGCAUGGCUGUCGUCAGCUCGUGUUGUGAAAUGUUGGGUUAAGUCCCGUAACGAGCGCAACCCUUGUCCUUAUUUGCCAGCGCGUAAUGGCGGGAACUCUAAGGAGACUGCCGGUGACAAACCGGAGGAAGGUGGGGACGACGUCAAGUCAUCAUGGCCCUUACGAGUAGGGCUACACACGUGCUACAAUGGUCCGUACAAAGGGUUGCCAACUCGCGAGAGUGAGCCAAUCUCGAAAAGCCCAUCUCAGUCCGGAUCGGAGUCUGCAACUCGACUCCGUGAAGUCGGAAUCGCUAGUAAUCGUAGAUCAGAAUGCUACGGUGAAUACGUUCCCGGGCCUUGUACACACCGCCCGUCACACCAUGGGAGUGGACUGCACCAGAAGUGGUUAG
RNAcentral lists this ribosomal RNA (1233 nucleotides) under uncultured bacterium. RNAcentral describes it as "bacterial SSU rRNA". It matches the Rfam family "Bacterial small subunit ribosomal RNA", at positions 208 to 1433 of the family's 1533-position model. The record is from RNAcentral.